UCCUCCGGUGUCUGGUUCUUCUUCUCCGGUGAGGCACUGGCAGCUAGGGUUUUUGUGGUCAGGUGUGGGUGGGGUUAUUUAUACCCUUUGCCUUUUAAUCUUGACCGUCCAUGAAGAUUAAAUCUGGAUCAUUCAAUCGCGAUUUAAUUGGGAUUAAAUCUGGGCCGUUCAUCGCGAUGCAAUCUGGGCCGUCCGUGCCUGAUUGAAUGUGGGCCGUCCGUGCGCGUGAAUCUGGGCUGUCCGUGCGCACGUUUGAUCUGGGCCACCUGUGCGUGGGAACGGAACUGGACCGUCCGAUCGCGCGCACGCGGAUCGCCGACGUGGCCCGUCCCCUGGUCAGCGUUUCCUUGCCACGCGGCACGUCCUGGUUGGCCGGAGCUGCUGACCGGGCCACCGACGUGGCUGCUGACGUGGUGCUGACGUGGCACAAUUUUUUUAAAUUGCGUUUUGACCCCCGAUUUUCGAUUUUCUUUUCAAAAACACCCCCAUAAUCCAAAUUUUCACCCCUUUUUCCCAAAAUCAAUUUCAAUUAAAU
This 535-nucleotide long non-coding RNA is filed under the name Carica papaya (papaya). RNAcentral describes it as "long non-coding RNA (CPAP_LNC015948)". The record is from RNAcentral. Lineage: Eukaryota; Viridiplantae; Streptophyta; Magnoliopsida; Brassicales; Caricaceae.